GCACUGCCGACGAGUCCAAAACAGGACGAAACAGCUGUCACGUGC
Molecule: non-coding RNA, 45 nt
Filed under: Echinostoma caproni
Lineage: Eukaryota; Metazoa; Platyhelminthes; Trematoda; Plagiorchiida; Echinostomatidae
Source: RNAcentral